UGGGGAAUAUUGCACAAUGGGCGCAAGCCUGAUGCAGCCAUGCCGCGUGUAUGAAGAAGGCCUUCGGGUUGUAAAGUACUUUCAGUCGGGAGGAAGGUGGUAAGGUUAAUAACCUUAUCAAUUGACGUUACCGACAGAAGAAGCACCGGCUAACUCCGUGCCAGCAGCCGCGGUAAUACGGAGGGUGCAAGCGUUAAUCGGAAUUACUGGGCGUAAAGCGCACGCAGGCGGUUGAUUGAGUCAGAUGUGAAAUCCCCGGGCUUAACCCGGGAAUUGCAUCUGAUACUGGUCAGCUAGAGUCUCGUAGAGGGGGGUAGAAUUCCAGGUGUAGCGGUGAAAUGCGUAGAGAUCUGGAGGAAUACCGGUGGCGAAGGCGGCCCCCUGGACAAAGACUGACGCUCAGGUGCGAAAGCGUGGGGAGCAAACAGG
Molecule: ribosomal RNA, 429 nt
Filed under: Chloroflexota bacterium
Lineage: Bacteria; Bacillati; Chloroflexota
Description: Chloroflexi bacterium partial 16S ribosomal RNA
Rfam family: Bacterial small subunit ribosomal RNA
Source: RNAcentral